UACGAAGGGGGCUAGCGUUGCUCGGAAUCACUGGGCGUAAAGCGCACGUAGGCGGAUUUCUAAGUCAGGGGUGAAAUCCUGGAGCUCAACUCCAGAACUGCCUUUGAUACUGGGAAUCUCGAGUCCGGGAGAGGUGAGUGGAACUGCGAGUGUAGAGGUGAAAUUCGUAGAUAUUCGCAAGAACACCAGUGGCGAAGGCGGCUCACUGGCCCGGUACUGACGCUGACGGUGCGAAAGCGUGGG
RNAcentral lists this ribosomal RNA (243 nucleotides) under uncultured bacterium. RNAcentral's name for it is "partial 16S ribosomal RNA". It matches the Rfam family "Bacterial small subunit ribosomal RNA", at positions 524 to 765 of the family's 1533-position model. The record is from RNAcentral.